CUCCCUUGAUUCUUGGAUCUUAAGGAUGGGAAAUUGGAGGUCAUGGCACAAUUCAGCAGCAAGAGUAUUAGUGCAGCCCAGGUCCUGUGGUUUGGGCCAGGCAUCUCUCCAUUGCCAGAGGUUGCCUUCAGAAGUCUGAAUGGGACACAUAGCCCAUUUUCAGGCCUUGAGAAUUCCUGUGAGAAUUUCAAGCAAGCUUUUGUUUCAACAGCUCACAUGUGCAAGGGCCACCAAGAGUUUAGUAAUGUAAAUAGAUAACAUGUCAUCAUUUAGCCAAGGAAUCACAUUAUGAGCAUAUUCAAACCACAUUCAAAAGGACACCAGAUUUCCUUGAAACAUCUGUGGAUAAAGGAAGAAAAAUCAUGGUGGAUGUGUAGCCAGCCUCCAACAUGGGCUCCAAUGAUUCCUGCCUCUUGGUAUUCAAGUCCUUGUGCAGUUUCCUCCUACAAUGUAUCAUAAUUGGUCUUUGUGACCAAGAGAAUACAGCAGAAGUGAUGGCAUGUCACUUCUGAAGCUAGGUCAUAAAAGGUACUGUGGCUUUGUGGUAUAAUAAGAAAGACAUUCUAUCUUUGUCCAUAGUGCCUGGCACAGAACUCCUGUUGAGGAACCCCUGUUCCCUCAAACCCCUGGAACACCACACAGAGAACUAUCUCCAGGCCUGGACUUCCCCUGACUUGGAGACAGCCUUAUUCUCAGAUCUCUCUCUCUUUUAAAAUGGACUAUCCUCUUUACAACCCAGAGAGCCCCAUCCAAAUAUCACUCAUUGUGGAAGAAAUCUGAUGCCAUGUCUUGAGGACACUCAAGUGGCCUAUGGAGAGGCGAACAUAAAGACAAGAAACCCAAUCUCAAGCACUAUGAGACUCCCUCCUCUCCAUCUCCAAGGGUCAGGCCAUGGUCUUAGUCAUUGCCAAGAGCAUCACAGAAGGCCUCUGCCUCCGGUUCCUACCUGGGCCCUUUCUAUGCUCGUUAACUGAUGCUGCAGCCUGACUUCUUCAAGACUAAGUUGGGCUGUAUGCUUGCAGUCAUGGGAGGAAAACAAAAGAGGCAUGAGCUGGACUUGUGGAAUACAUACAGAAGAUGCCUCCAAUUACUGAGAGGUUAAGAAGAACAUUAUAUUGCCUCACAAAUCCUGUUUGUUACUGUAUAGAAUUGUAAGAAUUAUGGAAGAAACUGAAGGAAUUACUCCUCUAAAGCAGAUACUCCUGGAAAGUUACACAACUUGGCUAAUACUCUCCUGCUAGAGUUGGACAGGAAGACCUUACCAAAGCUGAAAGAUAAGAGAAACAUUUGUUUGGGCUGAGGCAGCUGUUUCAUGAAAUGCAACAUCAUAUCUCAUUUUUCUUCAUGAACUUCUCUCAUUUAACAAUUAGGCUGGAAGAACACACAUUACCAAUAGGUUCAGUCGUAUAACACUCAGAACCUGGAAAUAAUGAGUUGGAAGUUUCAGAUCCUACAAAAUAAAUCAGUUACUCCAUCAAUUCUAUAAUAUAAGGCAAAGAAUCUGAAAAUUGAAGGAAGAUAUUUUGAACAACACUGUGCAAAAGCUAUUGCUGAGUUAGGUAUUCAGUUAAGCCAAACACCACGCCUGGUUCUCAGUUUGUUUUGCAAAAGCAUUUAUUCUACAUUUUAAAUAUGCACAUGUUUCAACUUGGGCUAGAAAGACUUAACUAAAAAUAACACCACUAUCACCAAGUGAUGCUAUGGUUGACCGAUACUCCAGGAUUUGAAAAAAAAAUUCCCCAAAUGGUACAAAUUCCCCAAAUGCUACAAAUUCCCUAGGAACUGGAAGCUUUUCCUCUCCUUAAGGUGAAAGACUGCUUCUCCUCUUGGUGUUUUGCCAUUAAAAAAAGAAAGUAUUUAGCAAACAACUAGCAGAUCCAUCAAAAGGUUAGGAUUCUUUUUAUUUUAGUGCUCUUUCUUAAUGGGCAAAAUUGAUUGAUUAGUUCACCUGGAAUGUUCUUAGCCUUAGGGCAGAAACAGAGCUUUGUAUGCAUUAGUGGACUGGGUUUAUAAAAGAAAAAAGUCCACAUUCAAGAAUACAGAGAAUUUCAAAAAUACAAGAAAAUAGAAAAAAGAAAAACAAGGUCUGGAAGCAUAUUAAAAUUCUUGUAUUCAUUAAAAAUCAAAUGGCUGUGUUUUCAGUUGUAUUGAGUUAUCAUAUGUGCACUGGUUCUUU
RNAcentral lists this long non-coding RNA (2176 nucleotides) under Homo sapiens (human). RNAcentral's name for it is "HSALNT0381145". Lineage: Eukaryota; Metazoa; Chordata; Mammalia; Primates; Hominidae. The record is from RNAcentral.